Molecule: ribosomal RNA, 464 nt
Filed under: uncultured bacterium
Lineage: Bacteria
Description: partial 16S ribosomal RNA
Rfam family: Bacterial small subunit ribosomal RNA
Source: RNAcentral
GACGAACGCUGGCGGCGUGCUUAACACAUGCAAGUCGAACGGAAAGUCCCAGCUUGCUGGGUGCUCGAGUGGCGACCGGUUGAGUUAUACGCUUGUGUUCUGCCUCUACCUUCGGGAUAAGCUUGGGUAACUUGUUCUCAUACUGGAUAGGACAUUCGUUUGGUGUCGGUUGUCGAAAGUUUUUUCGGUUAGGUAUGAGCGCGCGGCCUUUCAGCUUGUUGGUGUGGUAAUGGCCUUCCAAGGCUUCGACGCGUAGCAGGCCUGAGAGGGUGGACGGCCACAUUGGGACUGAGAUACGACACAGACUAGUACGGGAGGGAGCAGUGGGGAAGAGUGCACAAGGGGCGGAAGCCUGAUGUAGCGAAGCCGUGUGGGGGAUGACGGCAUUCGGGUUGUAAACCAAUGUCGACAGGGACGAAGAGUUGGUGACGGUACCAGUAGAAGAAGCACCGGCUAACUACGUG